Molecule: long non-coding RNA, 2446 nt
Organism: Melanotaenia boesemani (Boeseman's rainbowfish)
Lineage: Eukaryota; Metazoa; Chordata; Actinopteri; Atheriniformes; Melanotaeniidae
Exons: 7
Source: RefSeq, a predicted model, not a curated record
UGGACAUGGGAUUAGGAGGCUUUCUGCUUCUGCCUACUUGGAUGUUUUCCAGGCAUGUCCUCCUCAGAGACCCAAGGACAGAUCUAGGACUUGCUGUAAAGAUUAUAUAUUUUUGGCAUGCCUUGGAUGUGUUCUCUCCAGCUCUUGGAAGACCCCCAGGAGGAGCUGGAGAGAGGGAUGUCUGGGAAUGUGUGGCUUUAGAAGGUGGCUGGGCUCACCCUGAGAGCAAGUGCGAUGCAGACGCAUCCAGAGAUGGCUUCAAAGGACAAUGCUGCUGCUCUGGAUUGAAGGGAUUCAGCUGAGGUGGUUUGGACAUCGGAUUAGGAGGCUCUGAUUUUCUCUACUUGGAUGUUUUCCAGGCAUGUCCUCCUCAGAGACCCAAGGACCGAUCUAGGACUUGCUGUAAAGAUUAUAUAUUUUUGGAAUGCCUUGGAUGUAUUCUCUCCAGCUCCUGGAAGACCCCCAGGAGGAGCUGGAGAGAGGGAUGUCUGGGAAGGUGUGGCUGGGCUCACCCUGAGAGAGCAAGUGCGACGCAGACGCAUCCAGAGAUGGCUUGAAAGGACGAUGUUGCUCCUCUGGAUUAAAGGGAAUCAGCUGAGGUGGUUUGGACAUCGGAUUAGGAGGCUCUGAUUUUCUCUACUUGGAUGUGUUCCUGGCAUGUCCUCCUCAGAGACCCAAGGACAGAUCUAGGACUUGCUGUAAAGAUUAUAUAUUCUUGGCGUGCCUUGGAUGUGUUCUCUCCAGCUCUUGGAAGACCCCCAGGAGGAGCUGGAGAGAGGGAUGUCUGGGAAUGUGUGGCUUUAGAAGGUGGCUGGGCUCACCCUGAGAGCAAGUGCGACGCAGACGCAUCCAGAGAUGGCUUCAAAGGACAAUGCUGCUACUCUGGAUUGAAGGGAUUCAGCUGAGGUGGUUUGGACAUUGGAUUAGGAGGCUCUGAUUUUCUCUACUUGGAUGUUUUCCAGGCAUGUCCUCCUCAGAGACCCAAGGACCGAUCUAGGAGUUGCUGUAAAGGUUAUAUUUUCAUUUGUGGAUUUUUGGCCUUUGGCCUUGUAUAUGUUCUCUCGAGCUCCUCCUGAAAUAACCCCAGGAGGAGCUGGAGAGAGGCAUGUCUGGGUCAGUAGGUUCGAGUUUUCCAGGAGGACCAGCAUGGGACGAUACCAGCCUGAAGCUGCUUCCUGGGUGACCUGCUUCUACCUCAGUCUGUGUGGAGCACUCCAUGUCCAUCAGAUCUCAUCGUGCAAACGACUGCUUCCCCACAUAAAGAUGUAUUCAAAGACUGGAGAGAGAAGGAUGGUGACUUUCUCCCCAGAUAACCAGCAUGUAGAACAACCUAAGGAGGAGAUGAACUUGGAAUAAACUUCAAUGUGGACAUGUGGAACCAGAACAUUUGGAGGAAGUUUGGAUUCAUCCACAUUCUCAGCCUGAACAUAGAUGACAUCUGCUGAAGGUCAUCAAAUACCUGAACCCAGAUGGUGUAUUAGACUGGAGGCAGCUUUGAAUCCUAGAACCUGACCAGACCCCAGACCCUCAUCAACCAGUAACCCUGACGAGGAGUGUUGAAUAACCCUUACAGAGCUGAGGUCUGAUGUCAUCUUCCUGGUUCAUGCGUCUGGACUGAAACCAUUUUUCUGAUGGACUGGAAGGUGGAGGUGCUGCUGGGAUGGUGUGACAUGGAUUUUUACUAUCCAAUCAGAACUGGGAUUCUGGAAAUAUUCUUUCUCUAAAACAUUUUCUACCACGGUGGUUGUACAUAGUGUAGUGUGGGUGUGUUGUGCUGACACCUGCCUGAUGUUCACCUGUGGUGGAAGUAAUAAGUCUCAGUGUUAGAGGGGAUAGAGGGGGGGUCGAGGAGGACUGGAGGUUGUGGCAAUUGAAGUAGAGGCACUGUGGUGGGUGGGUGCUGCUCGCAGCUUAUAGUGCUGCCGGCAGUGAAGACAGCUAAGUAGGGGAGCUGCAUCCUGCUGGUUAGGAGGGGAGGCUGGAUGCCUCCUUUAGGUAGCUAGGGACUGGGGAUUAGUUAGUGCCUUGCCUGCGUGUCACUGAGCGCCUUUAUCCAUCUUUGUGACUGUGGCACUAGAGACUCCGUGAUAUGUCCUCCUGUGAGUCAACAUCAUGUGAAACUACAGAAAUGAUGUAAUGGAAUAAACACUGAGUAUUUUUAUUAAACUAAAAGUUUGUCACGUCUGAUUUCUCUAACAUUUUUAAGCCUUACAUUAAUUAAAUUGCUGUUAUUUUCCAGAUGAAAAAUGGAGGGGGAAAUGCAUUCAAGUCAGCUUUAAAGUGCAUUUUGGAAACAAUCAGAACAGGUCUAUAUGUGCUAAUUCAUCUGCAGGUGAAGGUUCCUGCAGAGAUGAACAAGCUACUGAUGGACCUGAAAUGUGGUCCCAAACUAAACAUGUCAAUGGAUAAUGUUGCAGAGACACUGUAUGGGAGAGAUGUGCUGAGA